RNAcentral lists this transfer RNA (84 nucleotides) under Hypnocyclicus thermotrophus. It matches the Rfam family "tRNA". Rfam says of the family: Transfer RNA (tRNA) molecules are approximately 80 nucleotides in length. Their secondary structure includes four short double-helical elements and three loops (D, anti-codon, and T loops). The record is from Rfam by way of RNAcentral. Lineage: Bacteria; Fusobacteriati; Fusobacteriota; Fusobacteriia; Fusobacteriales; Fusobacteriaceae.
GGAGGAAUGUCCGAAUUGGCUAAGGGGCCGGUCUUGAAAACCGGUAAGGCGCAAGCUAUCUGGGUUCGAGUCCCAGUUCCUCCG